Saccostrea echinata is the source of this 764-nucleotide long non-coding RNA. RefSeq lists it as uncharacterized. NCBI's taxonomy places the organism in Eukaryota, Metazoa, Mollusca, Bivalvia, Ostreida, Ostreidae. The record is from RefSeq and is a predicted model, not a curated record. The transcript is spliced from 3 exons.
GAUCCGAGAGUUAUCUUUAAGCCCCGCCCACUUACGUCAUCUUUGACCUGCAUCACAAACUUUCAACAUGGCGAGCGAUUCAGCCUCGGCAACAGAUUCGGUGGUAGAUGUUCCAGAUACGAUAUCGGUGUCGUAUCUCGAUUGAAGUAAAGAUUUAUCACGGAAAGUGUUAGAGAAGGGUUUAAAUUAUUUCACACAAGGUUAUAUUCAUAAUAUCCGAGUGUCAAAGCCUGAAAAUAGGAUACGAGUUGAUGCAAAAUGCUGGCGAUCCAUGAGGAAGUCACAGCCGCCGUAUUCGCUGCAGAUCGAAAUAAAUGUCGAAAAAUCAACUUUGACCGAAUCAUAUUGCAAAUGCAAAGCAGGACUCGAUGGUCUCUGUUCACACAUUGUUGGACUUCUUAAAACGCUGCAAGGCUUAAAACUGCAGAAUUUCAAAAAUGCACCUGAUCACCAAAGUUGCACUAGUUUACCACAACAGUGGCAUGUUCCCCGGGGUACCAAAAUAAAACCUGUACCCUUAAACCAUGUUGUUGUUGUCAGGCCCAAAGAAAAAAAGGAAGAGGAAACCAGUCAUUUGCCAUUUUGACGAAAAUUACAAACUUCCACGAGUAGACAAUGAUGACAUAGAGAAGCUUAUGAACAUAAAAGGUACGCCGCUGGAAUAUAUGAUUUCUAAAGAAGCACCAAAAUCACAGUCAUACUUUGGAGAAGUUCAAACUGGCUCCAUUUUGUCAUAUCAGGUAUUUCAGUGUAUUGAUGAUGAC